AUGAGGUUAGUAUUUUAAAGUUAGAUUUUAUUUAAUAAUAUAAUGAGAGGUGAUAUUUAAAAUAUUUAAUGAAUAGUAUGGUAUAAAUAUAAAUUAGUUUGAGUGGUUAUUUAAUUAGGGGAUUAUUGGUUUUUAAUAUUGUAUUAGUGAUUUUAGUAAUAAUUAUAGUUAUUAUUAUUUAGUAGUUAUUGUUAAUAUAGAGUAUUAUAAUUAAUUAUUUGGU
This 223-nucleotide unclassified non-coding RNA is filed under the name Hevea brasiliensis (rubber tree). Lineage: Eukaryota; Viridiplantae; Streptophyta; Magnoliopsida; Malpighiales; Euphorbiaceae. The record is from RNAcentral.